This 403-nucleotide unclassified non-coding RNA is filed under the name soil metagenome. RNAcentral describes it as "partial contains 5.8S ribosomal RNA, internal transcribed spacer 2, and large subunit ribosomal RNA". The stretch from base 1 to 121 matches the Rfam family "5.8S ribosomal RNA", at positions 35 to 154 of the family's 154-position model. The record is from RNAcentral.
GAUGAAGAACGUAGCGAAAUGCGAUAAGUAAUGUGAAUUGCAGAAUUCAGUGAAUCAUCGAAUCUUUGAACGCACCUUGCGCCCUUUGGCUAUUCCGAAGGGCAUGCCUGUUUGAGUAUCAUGAACACCUCAACUCUUCACGGCUUGCCGUGAUGAGUUUGGACUUUGGGGGUCUUGCUGGCCUACGAGCCAGCUCCUCUCAAAUGUAUUAGCUUGCCGGUGUUUGGUGGCAUCACAGGUGUGAUAACUAUCUACGCUUGUGGUUUUCCACUAGGUAACCUUCAGCAAUGGAGGUUCACCGGAGCUCACAAAUGUCUCUCCUUGCCAAGGACAGAUUUUGACCAUUUGAUCUCAAAUCAGGGAGGACUACCCGCUGAACUUAAGCAUAUCAAUAAGCGGAGGA